This 509-nucleotide ribosomal RNA is filed under the name uncultured Pseudomonas sp. Its description in RNAcentral is "bacterial SSU rRNA". It matches the Rfam family "Bacterial small subunit ribosomal RNA", at positions 903 to 1382 of the family's 1533-position model. Lineage: Bacteria; Pseudomonadati; Pseudomonadota; Gammaproteobacteria; Pseudomonadales; Pseudomonadaceae. The record is from RNAcentral.
UGCGCCUUGCCAGCCCGCUCAGAAACUUAAAUGAAUUGACGGGGGCCCGCACAAGCGGUGGAGCAUGUGGUUUAAUUCGAUGGUACGCGAGAAACCUUACCAGGGCUUGACAUACACCGGAAGCGCCGUGAAAGCGGCGUGCCGCUUGCGGCCCGGUGAACAGGUGCUGCAUGGCUGUCGUCAGCUCGUGCUGUGAAGUGUUGGGUUAAGUCCCGUAACGAGCGCAACCCUUGUCCUUAGUUACCAGCACGUUAUGGUGGGCACUCUAAGGAGACUGCCGGUGACAAACCGGAGGAAGGUGGGGAUGACGUCAAGUCAUCAUGGCCCUUACGGCCUGGGCUACACACGUGCUACAAUGGUCGGUACAAAGGGUUGCCAAGCCGCGAGGUGGAGCUAAUCCCAUAAAACCGAUCGUAGUCCGGAUCGCAGUCUGCAACUCGACUGCGUGAAGUCGGAAUCGCUAGUAAUCGUGAAAUCAGAAUGUCACGGUGAAUACGUUCCCGGGCCUU